AGCACGGGAGCAAUCCUGGUGGCGAGUGGCGAACGGGUGAGUAAUAUAUCGGAACGUGCCCAGUAAUGGGGGAUAGCCCGGCGAAAGCCGGAUUAAUACCGCAUACGACCUACGGGUGAAAGCGGGGGAUCGCAAGACCUCGCGUUAUUGGAGCGGCCGAUAUCAGAUUAGCUAGUUGGUGGGGUAAAGGCCUACCAAGGCGACGAUCUGUAGCUGGUCUGAGAGGACGACCAGCCACACUGGGACUGAGACACG
Molecule: ribosomal RNA, 255 nt
Filed under: uncultured beta proteobacterium
Lineage: Bacteria; Pseudomonadati; Pseudomonadota; Betaproteobacteria
Description: partial 16S ribosomal RNA
Rfam family: Bacterial small subunit ribosomal RNA
Source: RNAcentral